AGUCGAGCGCAGGAGCUCACGGAACUCUUCGGAGGGAAGUGAAGGGAAUGAGCGNCGGACGGGUGAGUAACACGUAAGGAACCUGCCCCAAGGAUUGGGAUAACUCCGAGAAAUCGGAGCUAAUACCGAAUAAUUCUUCAGACCGCAUGGUCUGAUGAUGAAAGGCGCUUCGGCGUCACCUUGGGAUGGCCUUGCGGUGCAUUAGCUAGUUGGUGGGGUAAUGGCCCACCAAGGCGACGAUGCAUAGCCGACCUGAGAGGGUGAUCGGCCACACUGGGACUGAGACACGGCCCAGACUCCUACGGGAGGCAGCAGUAGGGAAUCUUCCACAAUGGACGAAAGUCUGAUGGAGCAACGCCGCGUGAGUGAUGAAGGUUUUCGGAUCGUAAAACUCUGUUGUAAGGGAAGAACAGGUAUGAGAGGUAAUGCUCAUGCUAUGACGGUACCUUACGAGAAAGCCACGGCUAACUACGUGCCAGCAGCCGCGGUAAUACGUAGGUGGCAGGCGUUGUCCGGAAUUAUUGGGCGUAAAGCGCGCGCAGGCGGCCUUUUAAGUCUGAUGUGAAAGCCCCCGGCUCAACCGGGGAGGGUCAUUGGAAACUGGAAGGCUUGAGUACAGAAGAGAAGAGUGGAAUUCCAUGUGUAGCGGUGAAAUGCGUAGAGAUGUGGAGGAACACCAGUGGCGAAGGCGACUCUUUGGUCUGUAACUGACGCUGGGGCGCGAAAGCGUGGGGAGCAAACAGGANUAGAUACCCUGGUAGUCCACGCCGUNNCGAUGAGUGCUNNUGUNGGGGGGGUUUCCGCCCCUCAGUGCUGAANCUAACGCAUUAANCACUCCGNCUGGGGAGUACGGNC
Molecule: ribosomal RNA, 855 nt
Filed under: uncultured bacterium
Lineage: Bacteria
Description: bacterial SSU rRNA
Rfam family: Bacterial small subunit ribosomal RNA
Source: RNAcentral